CUGAGCAGGACAUGGGUGGGAGUCCCACCCAUGGGUGUCCCCCCACGGCUGUUGCAGCCCCAACCCCAGCACAGAGCUUUGAAGCUCCCCUGAGCACCCCAGCUCAGAGCCCUGUGCCCUCCGCAGCUCCAGCCAAUGUAAUUCCAGCCAAGGAAAGUCCCUUUGUGCCCCUGGAGCCACCCUGGGAAUGCUGGAGUCACUUCCCUCCCACGGGACUUCCCAGGCUCCACAGGAGGCUUUCCAGCUCCCAGAGGAGCAGAGCAGGAGGAAGCUGCUGGCUGGGAGGGUUGUAUCCUGCAGCUCAUGGCAUGCUCCAGCCCCAAACUUUUACCUUAUUUUCUUUUACAGCAGCAGCUCCCUGAGUCCUGUGAUCACUGCUGAGCCUCUGCCUUCUUUUUGGGCCAGGAGGACCUUUGGAUCUACCCUCAUCAGAGACUACAGUGGGCAAAACCAAGUCUUGAAAGGCUCAAGGCCAGGCUGCCUUCCCUGCUGUUGGCGCAGCUCCAUCCAUCCAGCACCGUGCCUUGGCUCCGAGUGCCUUGGCUCCAUAGGUGCUCCAGCAGCAGCACUAACCCACACGUGCAGCCACUUGCUUUGCAUCCAAAGGGAUGCUGAUGGGCAGUACCAGUCCCAGAGAGGAAAAAGGGACUUUUGCAGCAUCUGCUGCCUGUUGGAUGCUGUUGAAGGCAGCACUGGCAGCACCUGCCUGUGUGCAGGCACUGAGCUCACCUGUGCCCACCACGAUGAACCAUUUCCUUCCUGAACAUGAGCCCUCCCGGGAUGUCCUGCCUGGGAAAUGAAAUCAGCUCUGAAUGGGAAGUGCAACCAAGCUGGCCCAGCCCAGGAAGAAAAAGAGCAGCAAAAGAAAAACAGAUUCAGAAGCUGGGAAAAAAAAAAAAAGUAAAAUGCUGUGUGUGCUGCUGUCCCUGUCACUCCCCCCACGCCCACAGCCAUGGUCGGCAAGGCUGGCUCGUCCCACCAAGGUGGUGCAGAAAGGGGUGAUUUUUGUUUUAGCGGGAUUCCUGCUUCAGCACAGUCCUUUUCUUCCAGUUCUGGCUCUGGAGAAGGGAGCAGCUGGGUGCUGAGCCCGCCACAGCCCAGCCGUGCUGCCGGGCGAGGGCAAAGAGGCGUUAGCUGCGACGGGAGCCGAGCGCUUUAUUUUUAGUCUUGGUUUAACAAGUAUUAAUUAAUAAGAGUGCAAAUGCUAAUGCCGAGAUGACACAAACUGCGUCGCCUGAAAUGAAUGUUUGGGGCUUGUCUGUGCCAGGAUUUACAGCCGGGUGGGUUCACAGGGGCGAAAUCAUUGCUCAAACUGCAAGGAUAAGCUGAGCCGGCUCCUUCCCACCGAGAGCGGCAUCGGCCGUGCCGCAAUGGGAUGUGCCGGGGGCUCGGGGCCGCGCAGGGGGCUCGGGGCUGGGCGCGGGGAUGGGCUCGGGAUGGGCUCGGGAUGGGCUCGGGAUGGGCUCGGGAUGGGCUCCGGGAUGGGCUCCGGGAUGGGCUCCGGGAUGGGUUCAGGGAUGCGCUCGGGGAUGGGCUCCGGGAUGGGUUCAGGGAUGCGCUCGGGGAUGGGCUCGGGGAUGCGCUCGGGG
This 1589-nucleotide long non-coding RNA is filed under the name Lonchura striata (white-rumped munia). Its description in RNAcentral is "domestica (Bengalese finch) lncRNA (ENSLSDG00000003214.1)". Lineage: Eukaryota; Metazoa; Chordata; Aves; Passeriformes; Estrildidae. The record is from RNAcentral.